This 1563-nucleotide ribosomal RNA is filed under the name metagenome. RNAcentral's name for it is "bacterial LSU rRNA". It matches the Rfam family "Bacterial large subunit ribosomal RNA", at positions 1217 to 2685 of the family's 2925-position model. The record is from RNAcentral.
UUAUACGAGCGGUAGCGGAGCGUCGAUCUCGCUGAGAAGCGGCAGGGUAACCGGUCGUGGAGCGUGGUCGAGUGAGAAUGUUGGCAUGAGUAGCGAAAGAGGAGUGAGAAUCUCCUCCGCCGAAAAUCCAAGGGUUCCUGGGCGAGGCAAAUCCUCCCAGGGUAAGUCGGGAGCUAAGGCGAGGCCGAGAGGCGUAGUCGAUGCACAACUGGUUGAUAUUCCAGUACCACUUUAUGCGCGUCAAUUCUAAUUCGAGAUUGCUAAGGGGAUGUUCGGGUGUUUACACCCGAGACGAACCGACCCAUCUUGAGGCGGAAAGCUGUAGGGGGACGCAGGAAGGUAGAUGAGCCCGGGCGAUGGUUGUCCCGGGGUAAGCGUGUAGGGAGAGGUGUAGGCAAAUCCGCACCUCACAUAUCCUGAGACGUGACACCGAGUCGUUUAGACGAAGUCAUUGAUCCUAUGCUGCCAAGAAAAGCCCAGCAGUUAGUUCAUAGAGUGCCCGUACCCCAAACCAACACAGGUGGAUAGGUAGAGAAUACCAAGGCGAUUGGGUGAACUGUGGUUAAGGAACUCGGCAAAAUGUAUGCGUAACUUCGGGAUAAGCAUGACCUCAUUAGGGUGAUGGGACUUGCUCCCUGAGCUCGAAGAGGUGGCACAGAAUUGGGGGAAGCGACUGUUUACUAAAAACACAGCAGCGUGCUAAGCCGUAAGGCGCUGUAUACGCUGUGACGCCUGCCCGGUGCUGGAAGGUCACGGGGAAGGGUUAGCUCUUAGGAGCGAAGCUCUGAACCUAAGCCCCAGUAAACGGCGGCCGUAACUAUAACGGUCCUAAGGUAGCGAAAUUCCUUGUCGGGUAAGUUCCGACCUGCACGAAUGGCGUAACGACUUCCCUACUGUCUCAACCACAGACCCAGCGAAAUUGAAGUACGAGUAAAGAUGCUCGUUAGCUGCAGAAGGACGGCAAGACCCCGUGGACCUUUACUAUAGCUUGAUAUUGAGUUUUGUUAUGCGUUGUGUAGGAUAGGUGGGAGGCUAGGAAGCAUGCACGCCAGUGUGUGUGGAGCCAACCUUGAAAUACCACCCUGCGUAUGGCGGGACUCUAACCUAGAUCCGUUAUCCGGAUCGGGAACAGUGUCAGGUGGGUAGUUUGACUGGGGCGGUCGCCUCCUAAAGAGUAACGGAGGCGCCCAAAGGUUCCCUCAGACUGGUUGGCAAUCAGUCGUCGAGUGCAAUGGCAUAAGGGAGCUUGACUGCGAGACGUACAUGUCGAGCAGGUGCGAAAGCAGGGCAUAGUGAUCCGGCGGUUGCGUGUGGAAGCGCCGUCGCUCAACGGAUAAAAGGUACCCCGGGGAUAACAGGCUAAUCUUCCCCAAGAGUCCAUAUCGACGGGAAGGUUUGGCACCUCGAUGUCAGCUCAUCGCAUCCUGGGGCUGAAGCAGGUCCCAAGGGUUGGGCUGUUCGCCCAUUAAAGCGGUACGCGAGCUGGGUUUAGAACGUCGCGAGACAGUUCGGUCCCUAUCCUCUGCAGCCGGAAGUGACUUGAGAAUAGCUAUCCCUAGUACC